This is a non-coding RNA of Equus caballus (horse), 3718 nucleotides long. The record is from RefSeq and is a predicted model, not a curated record. Lineage: Eukaryota; Metazoa; Chordata; Mammalia; Perissodactyla; Equidae.
UGGGAGAUGGGGUGGUGGCUGGGCGGGCUGGGCCAAUGUGUGACCAGCUAUUAGUCGCUAUCAGCCCUGCUAUCAGUUCCCCUUCAGUGAACCCAGCAGAGAUGGGCUAAAACUAAAGGCACACAUCUCCAGGACCCUGGAUCCUUAGUUACACUCAUUGGAAAAUGCUUGUUUCUUUAACCUUUGACCCCCUGAGCUUUACGACCAAAUAGAAGUUACAAAUUGUUCAAGUCCAGAUGGCCUCACUCUGGGCUCCCACUAAAGUUGUGGGCGAUCCCAGGACCUUGAAGUCCUUUUACAGAGAAACUAGUGCCCAGACAAUAUCAAGAAACCGAGGCUUCCCAGGCCCAGCUCCUCGGCUCCCUGACAUCAGAGUCCACCUUCCCCCGUGGAGACAAACAGCCAAGGACGCUCAUCUGAGAAACCCUCUUGUUUCCUCUGCCAUCCCCCAGGACUCCAUGAGGGAGAAGUACUUUCCUUGAUGAAUAGGGUGGGAACUUGAGGCCUAGGGAAGAUAAGCACCUGCCCCUCAGCACAGCUAACAAGGGGCAUGGCCAGGAUUUGAACCCGGGACUAAGCCUAAACCCCGUGCCCUACGCCCUUCGCACUGUACCAGAUUCCUCUCAAUCAUGAAGACUUCCUUAUCCUUGGGGCUCAGGAAGCCAUCUUGCACCCGUUGUCUCAUUUGAUCCUCAAAACAGCUCUGUGAGGUGGGAGGAUCCACGGUCAGGGCCUGGCGGGAGAGGACGACCCAUUGCUCAGAUGUUUCAUUGAAGAGGGUUUAAUGAAAGGACCGUGUGCAGAGGUGUGGGUGGGGUUGAGGGAACCAACAAGAGACGGUGAGGUGCCAGGGAUGAUGAAGACUCUCCUGACCAAACUUUAGCUAGGCUCCUCUAAGCCCUCUUCUCGACAAGGCCUUGACUUUGGCCCCGUCUGCCUUUGGCCUGCCUGGCCGGGUCUCAGCGAGAAUCUUGCUGUCAGUUUAGUGAGAAUCGCCCCACUCUCGCUAUCUGAUGACCCUUGAUAUCUGAUCAAGUUCCUCCUCCCUCACCUUUGACGUCUAAGUCCUUUCCUGCCUUCAGCAAGAAUCCUGGGAUCCUUGAUGUCUCCUCUUAGUAAUCUUCCCUCCACUGACCCCCUUGCUCUGCUCCUUGGCUGUAAAUCCGCUUUGUCCUUGUUGUGUUCCAAGUUGAGCUCCAUCUCGCUCCCCUAUUGCAAUGGUCCUGACUAGUCUCCCUGUUGCCACAGUCCUGAAUAAAGUCUUCCUUACCAUUUUAACAAGUGUCCGAAUAACUUUUUCCUUAACAAAGGGCAAGGAGAGACAGCUGGUAAGAGCUGCCUUUGGGAGAGGAGCCACCCAGAGGAGCUUAACUACAGAGGAAAGCAGCCAUUGUCAAAACUGUGGCUUGGCAAGGGGGUCAGGUGGUGGGACAAGUACCUUGACCUCUCUCUUCUCCUGUCCACCGGUCUCCUGGCAAUGUCUUCCAUUGGCUGAACCCAACUCAAAGCCAGGAACAAGGCAGACAGAUUGGCGGGGGAGGGAGGGAUGGACUGUCCAUAGAGCUUUAUCUCCUGGCUGGAGAAGGUAGAAAAUGGAAUUGGGAGGGAUAAGGCAAAAGGAAAAUAACUCCACCUGAAAAUAUCAUUACAGGCAAUUAACAGAUAAAGAACUGAGAUUUGAUGAGGCUAUAAUUCAAGAUCACACAGUUGGGAGGUAGGAUUGCUGGUACUGAAACUCUGGUCUUUAGAUUCCCAGCCCUGAGCUGUUUCUGUUACACUAAUACCCGUUACACCCAAAUCUAGUGAUGGAAAACCACCGUCAUUAUUGAUCAUCACUCCGCAGUUCUGGCGGGAGACUGGGCUCAGCCAGGCGGUUCUCGUUCGGGGUCUCGCACGGCUGCAGUCAGAUGGCGGCCAGGACCAGAGUCACCCUAAGAGGUGCUCGCUCAAACAUCCAGGGCUGCAGCAUCCGGGGCGCCUCACACGCCUCUCCCUCCAUGUUCUCUCUCCACGAGGUCUCAGUGUCUGACAGCUUCAGGGCGCCUGGACUUCUUACAGAGUGACUCAUGGUCCCAAAUGUGCAUGUCCAAGAAAGAGAGAGCAAGUAGAAAUUGGACUGCGAUCUAUGACCCACCUUGGGAAGUCACACAGUGCUGCCUCUGCUGCUUCCAGGACAAUCACAAAAGCCUGCCUCGGUUCAAGGGGAGGCAACACAGACUCUCUCUCGAUGACAGAGUGAGAAGAUUCUGGAAGAGCAUGAAACUACAGAUACUGUUGUGACGAUUAUGGGGAAACACCGUACUGUACGCCCUCUAAACUUCAUUACAACCCCAUGAGUGACACAGAGGGGCCAUCUCUUUGCUCUGGAUGACUUUCCAGUUCUUGAAAGUCAUCCCUUUCUCCUCGUCCCUCUGCAGAGGCGGAGUGGGGCACGCAAGCCUGAGUGAUGACCACCCCGAGCGCCACAAGCUCGUGUUCUCGUAACAGGAUUUAAAAGUCCCCCUGAGGAUGGCGAGCCUGUGUUUGGCUCUAGGGUAACUUGUUCUCUGAGGGUCUCACACGGAUAUUCUCACAGCCAGCGAGGCAGAAUGUGAAGGUGGACACCGAAGGUACCAGAAUGCGUCACUCCAGAAUAUGCCACUUUGGCAUAGGGAUUAUUUUGAGCUAAAGGAGACAGAACCAGCGGACACAGGAAAAGCUCCUUACCUCCCCCUAACCGACUAGAAAUGAAGUAGAAAUGUGCCCUUUGGUAAAGGAAAUUUCCAUUCGUAAAAAAGUCCGUACCAGGAGGAAAGCUACCCCUGGAGGCAGCUCUUAUCCCCUGAGAGACUCUCAUCUCAAGAUAAGACAAGACAAACCUUAUGGACAAGACCUUCCUCCCCGCUUCCCAUAACUUGCCUCCUCACCCAGAAGUCCAAACCCCUUUCCCUUCGUGUAGUCUAAGAUGGUGUACAGGCCUCAAGCGUUUGUCACCUCCUCGAGUCUCAUUUCCCUGUGAAACUCCCAUGCGUAUGAGGUAAUUAAAGCUGUUUUUUCUCUUGUGAGUCAUCCUCUAUCAGACUGAUUCUCAGGCUUCACCACUGAACCUAAGAGGGUAGAGGGGAAAAGAUGUUUCCUUCCCUACAAUGAAAAUCCCCCCCCCAAAUUCAAUUAAAAAAUUUCCCUGGUGCCAAAAGGGAAAAAGAUCUUUUCUCCCUCUCCCGUUUCUUUUAGCACUCCUUUAGAAAACUGCUAACUGUGAAUCCUUCCUCCUUCUCUUUGAGGUGCGUGGAAACCUGUCACAAAAGCGAAAUAAGCCUCUUGCCACCUUUGCAUCCCAGGAGUGUCCUUCCUGAAGGCCUCGCAGCCAUCUUACUGGAAUGUGCUGUGCCAGAAUGAUAGAAGCCUGGGGAAAUUGCCCUUGGCCUCCUCAGCCUGGUGGACAAAGCCUGUGGGACUAUGACUGCACCCCGUCCAAGGAGGCCCAGAAGGAUGACUGAGGCUGGCGGUCAAGACAUCAGAGGCUUGCACAACCACGCGUUUGACAAACCCAUUGGUCGGGUGGAGUAAGCAACUGCAGAAUGUAUGGUGGGUGAUGUUGCAAACUGAUAAAUUCUAUGUGAGCACAUACUAAGGGACCAGACCAAGCCUGGUGGGUUAAUGUAUCAGACUGAGUCAUAGCAGUCACCAUUUUUGUAAGUAAAAUACAUUGGAAUAUCAAGAAUUUUAUAAGGUUCAA